GGGGCUGAAUUUUGGGCGCGGGUGUGCCCGUGGCCUAUUUUUGGCACACGGAGGCCGCCCGCAAAGUCUGGGGCCAUUCCGAGUCCGGCGGACGAACUUCGCCCACGCCCCCCACCAAGGCUAUAGCCCACCCGUUUUUUGGCCAUUUUUCCGCCGGGGGGUCUUGGCGCCCCGACCUUCGGGGGCUUAAUUUUGGGCGCGGGUGUGCCCGUGGCCUAUUUUUGGCACACGGAGGCCGCCCGCAAAGUCUGGGGCCAUUCCGAGUCCGGCGGAAGAACUUCGCCCACGUCCCCCACCAAGGCUAUAGCCCACCCAUUUUUUGGCCAUUUUUCCGCUGGGGGGUCUUGGCGCCCCGACCUUCGGGGGCUGAUUUUUGGGCGCGGGUGUGCCCGUGGCCUAUUUUUGGCACACGGAGGCCGCCCGCAAAGUCUGGGGCCAUUCCGAGUCCGGCGGACGAACUUCGCCCACGCCCCCCACCAAGGCUAUAGCCCACCCGUUUUUUGGCCAUUUUUCCGCUGGGGGGUCUUGGCGCCCCGACCUUCGGGGGCUGAAUUUUGGGCGCGGGUGUGCCCGUGGCCUAUUUUUGGCACACGGAGGCCGCCCGCAAAGUCUGGGGCCAUUCCGAGUCCGGCGGACGAACUUCGCCCACGCCCCCCACCAAGGCUAUAGCCCACCCGUUUUUUGGCCAUUUUUCCGCUGGGGGGUCUUGGCGCCCCGACCUUCGGGGGCUGAUUUUUGGGCGCGGGUGUGCCCGUGGCCUAUUUUUGGCACACGGAGGCCGCCCGCAAAGUCUGGGGCCAUUCCGAGUCCGGCGGACGAGCUUCGCCCACGCCCCCCACCAAGGCUAUAGCCCACCCGUUUUUUGGCCAUUUUUCCGCUGGGGGGUCUUGGCGCCCCGAUCUUCGGGGGCUUAAUUUUGGGCGCGGGUGUGCCCGUGGCCUAUUUUUGGCACACGGAGGCCGCCCGCAAAGUCUGGGGCCAUUCCGAGUCCGGCGGACGAACUUCGCCCACGUCCCCCACCAAGGCUAUAGCCCACCCAUUUUUUGGCCAUUUUUCCGCUGGGGGGUCUUGGCGCCCCGACCUUCGGGGGCUGAUUUUUGGGCGCGGGUGUGCCCGUGGCCUAUUUUUGGCACACGGAGGCCGCCCGCAAAGUCUGGGGCCAUUCCGAGUCCGGCGGACGAACUUCGCCCACGCCCCCCACCAAGGCUAUAGCCCACCCGUUUUUUGGCCAUUUUUCCGCUGGGGGGUCUUGGCGCCCCGACCUUCGGGGGCUGAUUUUUGGGCGCGGGUGUGCCCGUGGCCUAUUUUUGGCACACGGAGGCCGCCCGCAAAGUCUGGGGCCAUUCCGAGUCCGGCGGACGAGCUUCGCCCACGCCCCCCACCAAGGCUAUAGCCCACCCGUUUUUUGGCCAUUUUUCCGCUGGGGGGUCUUGGCGCCCCGACCUUCGGGGGCUGAUUUUUGGGCGCGGGUGUGCCCGUGGCCUAUUUUUUGCACACGGAGGCCGCCCGCAAAGUCUGGGGCCAUUCCGAGUCCGGCGGACGAACUUCGCCCACGCCCCCCACCAAGGCUAUAGCCCACCCGUUUUUUGGCCAUUUUUCCGCUGGGGGGUCUUGGCUCCCCGACCUUCGGGGGCUGAUUUUUGGGCGCGGGUGUGCCCGUAGCCUAUUUUUGGCACACGGAGGCCGCCCGCAAAGUCUGGGGCCAUUCCGAGUCCGGCGGACGAACUUCGCCCACGCCCCCCACCAAGGCUAUAGCCCACCCGUUUUUUGGCCAUUUUUCCGCUGGGGGGUCUUGGCGCCCCGACCUUCGGGGGCUGAAUUUUGGGCGCGGGUGUGCCCGUGGCCUAUUUUUGGCACACGGAGGCCGCCCGCAAAGUCUGGGGCCAUUCCGAGUCCGGCGGACGAACUUCGCCCACGCCCCCCACCAAGGCUAUAGCCCACCCGUUUUUUGGCCAUUUUUCCGCUGGGGGGUCUUGGCGCCCCGACCUUCGGGGGCUGAUUUUUGGGCGCGGGUGUGCCCGUGGCCUAUUUUUGGCACACGGAGGCCGCCCGCAAAGUCUGGGGCCAUUCCGAGUCCGGCGGACGAACUUCGCCCACGCCCCCCACCAAGGCUAUAGCCCACCCGUUUUUUGGCCAUUUUUCCGCUGGGGGGUCUUGGCGCCCCGACCUUCGGGGGCUGAAUUUUGGGCGCGGGUGUGCCCGUGGCCUAUUUUUAGCACACGGAGGCCGCCCGCAAAGUCUGGGGCCAUUCCGAGUCCGGUGGACGAACUUCGCCCACGCCCCCCACCAAGGCUAUAGCCCACCCGUUUUUUGGCCAUUUUUCCGCUGGGGGGUCUUGGCGCCCCGACCUUCGGGGGCUGAAUUUUGGGCGCGGGUGUGCCCGUGGCCUAUUUUUGGCACACGGAGGCCGCCCGCAAAGUCUGGGGCCAUUCCGAGUCCGGCGGACGAACUUCGCCCACGCCCCCCACCAAGGCUAUAGCCCACCCGUUUUUUGGCCAUUUUUCCGCUGGGGGGUCUUGGCGCCCCGACCUUCGGGGGCUGAAUUUUGGGCGCGGGUGUGCCCGUGGCCUAGUUUUGGCACACGGAGGCCGCCCGCAAAGUCUGGGGCCAUUCCGAGUCCGGCGGACGAACUUCGCCCACGCCCCCCACCAAGGCUAUAGCCCACCCGUUUUUUGGCCAUUUUUCCGCUGGGGGGUCUUGGCGCCCCGACCUUCGGGGGCUGAUUUUUGGGCGCGGGUGUGCCCGUGGCCUAUUUUUGGCACACGGAGGCCGCCCGCAAAGUCUGGGGCCAUUGCGAGUCCGGCGGACGAACUUCGCCCACGCCCCCCACCAAGGCUAUAGCCCACCCGUUUUUUGGCCAUUUUUCCGCUGGGGGGUCUUGGCGCCCCGACCUUCGGGGGCUGAAUUUUGGGCGCGGGUGUGCCCGUGGCCUAUUUUUGGCACACGGAGGCCGCCCGCAAAGUCUGGGGCCAUUCCGAGUCCGGCGGACGAGCUUCGCCCACGCCCCCCACCAAGGCUAUAGCCCACCCGUUUUUUGGCCAUUUUUCCGCUGGGGGGUCUUGGCGCCCCGACCUUCGGGGGCUGAUUUUUGGGCGCGGGUGUGCCCGUGGCUUAUUUUUUGCACACGGAGGCCGCCCGCAAAGUCUGGGGCCAUUCCGAGUCCGGCGGACGAACUUCGCCCACGCCCCCCACCAAGGCUAUAGCCCACCCGUUUUUUGGCCAUUUUUCCGCUGGGGGGUCUUGGCUCCCCGACCUUCGGGGGCUGAU
RNAcentral lists this long non-coding RNA (3267 nucleotides) under Citrus x clementina. RNAcentral's name for it is "Citrus clementina (C. clementina) long non-coding RNA (CCLE_LNC002168)". Lineage: Eukaryota; Viridiplantae; Streptophyta; Magnoliopsida; Sapindales; Rutaceae. The record is from RNAcentral.